Molecule: transfer RNA, 60 nt
Filed under: Lychas mucronatus (Chinese swimming scorpion)
Lineage: Eukaryota; Metazoa; Arthropoda; Arachnida; Scorpiones; Buthidae
Description: tRNA-Arg
Source: RNAcentral
UAGCAGGAAGUGAGGUUCACGUUUAGUUUCGACCUAAGGAUUGAGUAGUUUCUCUGUUUA